Non-coding RNA from Paramuricea clavata, 583 nucleotides. Lineage: Eukaryota; Metazoa; Cnidaria; Anthozoa; Malacalcyonacea; Plexauridae. The record is from the annotation of a GenBank genome assembly.
GGGAAAACUCGAAAUUCUGUGAAAACACUCCACACAAUUUCUCGUUUUCCCAAUUUCCACUCGUGUUGAUAUAACUGCAUAUCAACACGGAAAAUGUUUCAUAUUUGUUAAGUAUAAAAGAGUUAAGUGUCUAUAGUUAUAAAAAUUAAAAGACAGUUCACUUUUUCGGUUGUGAUCACUCAAUUCCACUAUUUUCUCAUUUCAGCAACGAAAUCUUGGUUUCUCAAACGUAGUACAGAGUAGUCUGCCGCCAAAGCUUGCUACCACCGGGGCAAAGUCGCCCAAGGAUUGGUACGAUGUACAAAUACAAAUGUUGAUCAAUCUCGGCUUGGAUUUCAACGACAUGCGAGGAUAUUUUCAAAAUUCUACAACGACGAAAACAUGCAUCAUUCCCGCUUGUUAGAGAUGAAACGUGCCACACUAUUUUGGAAUAAUUGAAUAAAAAAUGAUGAAUUUCAUAUAGAUGUAGAAGCUAAAAUAGCGACACUGUAGUUAGAUAAGUUUAGUGUUUUUUCUUGCGAAAUAAUAUAAAGUAGAUGCUAUGCAUCAAAUAAGUAAUUUGGAAAUAGUUUAGUUGUUUGGU